AUGACUUUGAUCUGCGUCCUCAUCUGGACUCUCCUCUGCUGCUGCUUCACAGAGACCAGAGGACAGAUCACAGUGACUCAGCCUGGAGCAGUGAGCUCUGCUGUGGGAGGAACUGUGAGCAUCAAGUGUAGGACCAGUCAGGAUGUUUAUGUUCAUAGCAACUACCACUGUUUAGCCUGGUACCAACAGAGAGAUGGAGAAACUCCCAAACGUCUUAUUUACUACACUAGCACUCGACAAUCAGGAAUUCCAGCUCGUUUUACAGGCAGUGGAUCAAACUCUGACUUCACUCUGACCAUCAGUGGAGUCCAGGCUGAAGAUGCAGCAGUUUAUUACUGUCAGAGUUGGCACUACCCUAACAGUCAGUGGGUGUGCACACAGUGAAAAACAGUCGUACAAAAACC
Molecule: non-coding RNA, 404 nt
Organism: Oreochromis aureus
Lineage: Eukaryota; Metazoa; Chordata; Actinopteri; Cichliformes; Cichlidae
Source: the annotation of a RefSeq genome assembly